This 422-nucleotide ribosomal RNA is filed under the name uncultured bacterium. RNAcentral's name for it is "bacterial SSU rRNA". It matches the Rfam family "Bacterial small subunit ribosomal RNA", at positions 355 to 774 of the family's 1533-position model. The record is from RNAcentral.
UGGGGAAUAUUGGUCAAUGGACGCAAGUCUGAACCAGCCAUGCCGCGUGGAGGAUGAAGGCCCUCUGGGUUGUAAACUUCUUUUAUAUGGGACGAAAAAGGGUCUUUCUAGAUCAACUGACGGUACCAUGUGAAUAAGCACCGGCUAACUCCGUGCCAGCAGCCGCGGUAAUACGGAGGGUGCAAGCGUUAUCCGGAUUCACUGGGUUUAAAGGGUGCGUAGGUGGGUUGGUAAGUCAGUGGUGAAAUCUCCGAGCUUAACUUGGAAACUGCCAUUGAUACUAUCAGUCUUGAAUAUUGUGGAGGUCAGCGGAAUAUGUCAUGUAGCGGUGAAAUGCUUAGAUAUGACAUAGAACACCAAUUGCGAAGGCAGCCCCCUGGGAUAACACUGACGCUCAUGCACGAAAGCGUGGGGAGCAAACA